CCUACGGGAGGCAGCAGUGAGGAAUAUUGGUCAAUGGGCGUGAGCCUGAACCAGCCAAGUAGCGUGAGGGAUGACUGCCCUAUGGGUUGUAAACCUCUUUUAUAAGGGAAUAAAGUGAGGCACGUGUGCCUUUUUGUAUGUACCUUAUGAAUAAGGAUCGGCUAACUCCGUGCCAGCAGCCGCGGUAAUACGGAGGAUCCGAGCGUUAUCCGGAUUUAUUGGGUUUAAAGGGAGCGUAGGUGGGUUGUUAAGUCAGUUGUGAAAGUUUGCGGCUCAACCGUAAAAUUGCAGUUGAAACUGGAAGUCUUGAGUACGGUAGAGGUGGGCGGAAUGCGUGGUGUAGCGGUGAAAUGCUUAGAUAUCACGAAGAACCCCGAUUGCGAAGGCAGCCCGCCGGACCGUAACUGACGCUGAGGCUCGAAAGUGUGGGUAUCAAACAGGAUUAGAUACCCGUGUAGUC
Molecule: ribosomal RNA, 460 nt
Filed under: uncultured bacterium
Lineage: Bacteria
Description: partial 16S ribosomal RNA
Rfam family: Bacterial small subunit ribosomal RNA
Source: RNAcentral